CAGUAGCCGCGGGAAUACGGAGGGUGCAAGCGUUAAUCGGAAUUACUGGGCGUAAAGCGCACGCAGGCGGUCUGUCAAGUCGGAUGUGAAAUCCCCGGGCUCAACCUGGGAACUGCAUUCGAAACUGGCAGGCUAGAGUCUUGUAGAGGGGGGUAGAAUUCCAGGUGUAGCGGUGAAAUGCGUAGAGAUCUGGAGGAAUACCGGUGGCGAAGGCGGCCCCCUGGACAAAGACUGACGCUCAGGUGCGAAAGCGUGGGGAGCAAACAGGAUUAGAUACCCCUGUAGUCCCUGUCUCUUAUAC
RNAcentral lists this ribosomal RNA (301 nucleotides) under uncultured bacterium. RNAcentral's name for it is "partial 16S ribosomal RNA". It matches the Rfam family "Bacterial small subunit ribosomal RNA", at positions 509 to 807 of the family's 1533-position model. The record is from RNAcentral.